This 63-nucleotide transfer RNA is filed under the name Stenocranus matsumurai. Its description in RNAcentral is "tRNA-Ile". Lineage: Eukaryota; Metazoa; Arthropoda; Insecta; Hemiptera; Delphacidae. The record is from RNAcentral.
AGUUAGAUGCCUGAAAAAAGGAUUAUUCUGAUAGAAUAAAAAAUGUGUAAAUCACUCUUGCUA